CCUACGGGAGGCAGCAGUGGGGAAUAUUGGACAAUGGGCGAAAGCCUGAUCCAGCCAUGCCGCGUGUGUGAAGAAGGUCUUCGGAUUGUAAACCACUUUAAGUUGGGAGGAAGGGCAGUUUCCUGAUACGAAAUUGUUUUGACGUUACCGACAGGAUAAGCACCGGCUAACUCUGUGCCAGCGGCCGCGGUAAUACAGAGGGUGCAGGCGUUAAUCGGAAUUACUGGGCGUAAAGCGCGCGUAGGUGGUUUGUUACGUCGAAUGUGAAAUACCCAGGCUCAACCUGGGAACUGCAUCCAAAACUGGCAAGCUAGAGUAGGGCAGAGGGUGGUGGAAUUUCCUGUGUAGCGGUGAAAUGCGUAGAUAUAGGAAGGAACACCAGUGGCGAAGGCGAACACCUGGGCUCAUACUGACACUGAGGUGCGAAAGCGUGGGGAUCAAACAGGAUUAGAUACCCUGGUAGUCCACGCCGUAAACGAUGUCAACUAGCCGUUGGGAGUCUUGAACUCUUAGUGGCGCAGCUAACGCAUUAGGUUGACCGCCUGGGGAGUACGGCCGCAAGGUUAAAACUUAAAUGAAUUGACGG
This 586-nucleotide ribosomal RNA is filed under the name uncultured Pseudomonas sp. RNAcentral's name for it is "bacterial SSU rRNA". It matches the Rfam family "Bacterial small subunit ribosomal RNA", at positions 338 to 916 of the family's 1533-position model. The record is from RNAcentral. Lineage: Bacteria; Pseudomonadati; Pseudomonadota; Gammaproteobacteria; Pseudomonadales; Pseudomonadaceae.